CAAGGCAUAGCUUAAGUAAAGCAUCUAGUUUACACCUAGAAGAUUUCAUAUAAAAUGACUACCUUGA
RNAcentral lists this transfer RNA (67 nucleotides) under Miniopterus pusillus (small bent-winged bat). RNAcentral's name for it is "tRNA-Val". It matches the Rfam family "tRNA". Rfam says of the family: Transfer RNA (tRNA) molecules are approximately 80 nucleotides in length. The record is from RNAcentral. Lineage: Eukaryota; Metazoa; Chordata; Mammalia; Chiroptera; Miniopteridae.